RNAcentral lists this ribosomal RNA (651 nucleotides) under Mesorhizobium qingshengii. RNAcentral's name for it is "bacterial SSU rRNA". It matches the Rfam family "Bacterial small subunit ribosomal RNA", at positions 64 to 763 of the family's 1533-position model. The record is from RNAcentral. Lineage: Bacteria; Pseudomonadati; Pseudomonadota; Alphaproteobacteria; Hyphomicrobiales; Phyllobacteriaceae.
GAGCGCCUCGCAAGAGGAGCGGCAGACGGGUGAGUAACGCGUGGGAAUCUACCCAUCUCUACGGAACAACUCCGGGAAACUGGAGCUAAUACCGUAUACGUCCUUCGGGAGAAAGAUUUAUCGGAGAUGGAUGAGCCCGCGUUGGAUUAGCUAGUUGGUGGGGUAAUGGCCUACCAAGGCGACGAUCCAUAGCUGGUCUGAGAGGAUGAUCAGCCACACUGGGACUGAGACACGGCCCAGACUCCUACGGGAGGCAGCAGUGGGGAAUAUUGGACAAUGGGCGAAAGCCUGAUCCAGCCAUGCCGCGUGAGUGAUGAAGGCCCUAGGGUUGUAAAGCUCUUUCAACGGUGAAGAUAAUGACGGUAACCGUAGAAGAAGCCCCGGCUAACUUCGUGCCAGCAGCCGCGGUAAUACGAAGGGGGCUAGCGUUGUUCGGAAUUACUGGGCGUAAAGCGCACGUAGGCGGAUUGUUAAGUUAGGGGUGAAAUCCCAGGGCUCAACCCUGGAACUGCCUUUAAUACUGGCAAUCUCGAGUCCGAGAGAGGUGAGUGGAAUUCCGAGUGUAGAGGUGAAAUUCGUAGAUAUUCGGAGGAACACCAGUGGCGAAGGCGGCUCACUGGCUCGGUACUGACGCUGAGGUGCGAAAGCGUG